ACGGAGGGUGCAAGCGUUAAUCGGAAUCACUGGGCGUAAAGCGCUCGCAGGCGGUUUGGUAAGUCAGAUGUGAAAUCCCUGGGCUUAACCGGGGAACUGCAUUUGAUACUGCCAGGCUUGAGUAUCGGAGAGGGUGGUGGAAUUCCGGGUGUAGGGGUGAAAUGCGUAGAUAUCCGGAGGAACACCAGUGGCGAAGGCGGCCACCUGGACGAAAACUGACGCUCAGGUGCGAAAGCGUGGGGAGCAAACAG
This 251-nucleotide ribosomal RNA is filed under the name uncultured prokaryote. RNAcentral describes it as "partial 16S rRNA". It matches the Rfam family "Bacterial small subunit ribosomal RNA", at positions 525 to 775 of the family's 1533-position model. The record is from RNAcentral.